UCAAACAAGAGCCAACCCGUUUCUAUCGUCCGCUUCUUGGGACAAGCUUUUGAAUUAGCAAGUUUCCACUUGAAAUUUUCAAGUUCAGAGUUGUUUUUCUGCAUCAUUUGUUCAACUGUCACAAUCCACACAAUAAGGCGUUUCUUUAGUGAAUUUUAGCAGAAGCUAUGCAAACACAAGCAUGAAACAUGAUAAAUUUGUCAGUCCUGAUGGCAAAAUAAGCAUUUGCAUAUCGCAGUGCAAGACAUGACACCACCUUAUCUUUUGGUUCUUAGAUAUAAGACCUAAUAAAUAUUUAUCAAACUUGUCCUUGUGUUACUUUGAAGUAAGUUUCUCGAUCAUGUCUCACACGACAAGACGGCUUGGGACAUUUUGUCAUCACUUGAGGAAAAUUGUUGAAGGUUGUGAUAUAAGGUUGAAAUGAGGCAAAGCAUACUUCUCAGCCAUCACAUUUUGAAACAACAAAAGGGUUAUUAAAGAAGCAAAACGCCUGCUUACAUUCCGCUUAUAGAGAGGACAACUUAAACUUUUACAAUACCAUCCUUAUCCUUGCAACUCAUUAUCGGUUUCUUGAUAAUAUUUUAGUAGUAUUUAAGAAGUAAAUU
This is a long non-coding RNA of Raphanus sativus (radish), 605 nucleotides long. RefSeq lists it as uncharacterized. The transcript is spliced from 3 exons. The record is from RefSeq and is a predicted model, not a curated record. Lineage: Eukaryota; Viridiplantae; Streptophyta; Magnoliopsida; Brassicales; Brassicaceae.